RNAcentral lists this ribosomal RNA (1236 nucleotides) under Triticum aestivum (bread wheat). RNAcentral's name for it is "partial small subunit ribosomal RNA". Lineage: Eukaryota; Viridiplantae; Streptophyta; Magnoliopsida; Poales; Poaceae. The record is from RNAcentral.
AUGUCCCGGAGGAAGAAACCCAGAGCCGAGGCCGUCUCCCUCGACGCUUCCGCCGGCCUCGACCGCCUCAGCGCCCUCCCGGACGACCUCCUCCACAAGGUCAUGUCGUUCCUGAGGGCGUGGGAGGUGGCCCGCACCUGCGUGCUCUCGCGCCGCUGGCGUGACCUCUGGGCUUCCGCGCCCUGCGUCGACCUCCGGGUCUGCUGCAAGGCCCGGCACCGGCGCCUCCCCACGCGGCUCGCCAGCUUCGCCAACCACUUCCUGCUCCUGCGGGAGGCGUCCGCGCCGCUGGACGCCCUCCGGGUCCUGUCCAGCCCCCCACGCCAGGAUGCUCCACACAUGCCCUACAGUCCCCAGUACGACGACGACGGGGAGGACUACUCCUCUGAGGACGUCGAAAUGUGGAUCCGCGCCGCCAUAAACCGCAGGGCUCGCUUCAUCCAGCUCAGCCAUCACCCAAGGGACGACGACCUCUCCGACCUCGACAACGUGCCCCUCGUCUCCUGCCACCUCAAGCACCUGCAUCUGUCGGGCACAAUGCUGUACGACAAGACGCUGAGGCAGCUCUCCUCUCAGUGCCCUUCUCUGCAAGUCCUGGAGCUCAAGGACUGCUCCCUGGAUGGCCCCCACAUAUCAUCUGCCUCCCUUAUCACUUUGACCAUGGUCGAGUGCAGGAUCAUCAGGGACCUCACCGUCGCUGCUCCCAACCUCAUAUCGCUGCGCUGUGUCAAUCCAUACCACCAUGCUCCCUCGUUCGAAGACAUGGCUUCCCUGGCCACAGCCACAAUCAUGCUUAAUGACUCUUUCUUGCAUGAUGAGUUUGAAGAGAGGUACGCAGAGCCCGAUCCAGAGGUGUUUGAGUGUGACAGCGACUCAAAUGAUGACAGCGACGCUGAUAGCGACUUGAGUACAUGUGAUGAAUUCUAUGGUGACAAAGUUUUAGGUGGCCAAAAUGUUAUCCGCAGCCUGUCGAAUGCUACAAGUUUGGAGCUGAUAGCUGAUGCCGAAGAGGAACAUGAGGAAAUAGAUGACGAUAUCAAACCCGAGGGUACAUCAUUUGCUUGCGAAAACCUUACAAUGGUCAAUAUAAAAUGUCCCAAGGAUGAUGAAAGAGUUCCUGUGUUAGCACAGUUCUUCGUGGCUAAUGGCAUAGCGAUGGAAAAGAUAUCUGUCAAUCACCGGCCGACUCACCAACCUCGCUACUGUUUAAACCUGGUGUUUGUUUUUCGAGCUUGA